Molecule: unclassified non-coding RNA, 1592 nt
Filed under: Leishmania donovani
Lineage: Eukaryota; Euglenozoa; Kinetoplastea; Trypanosomatida; Trypanosomatidae
Description: gene:unknown
Source: RNAcentral
UCUCUUGUUCUGUACCGGCGCACCCAUUAGGCGAUCCCCAUGCACAGCUGCCUUGCGCGUGCAGGAGCCGAACAAGGAAGAAAGGGACAGCGAGGUGUCGAGGUGUGGGCCGGGGGAGGAGGCCGGCUGUAUGGACGAGAGGUCGGGGGUUGCAGUAUCACGUGUGCGCCUGCCGGAAUGAUCGUCCCCGUGCGCAAGUGCCUGCUGGAGGUCAUGCCCGACCGGGAAAGGGCUUGCCGCUGUGCAGUGAUUGCGCGAAAGGUCGACAGCGCAGCAGCACGCAAACCACCGGUCAUCGGCUUCUCCACCCCUUUGAGUGGUGUGUCGAUGCGCGCACUUCCUUCUAUACAGCGCCUUCUCUUCAUCUGUCCACGAGCAGCGGUAAAGCGAGCAACCGUGCAGAGAUGGUGGCAUCGUCUGUUUUGAUCCCUCUUUCAUCGGUAACGCCAGAGGAGCCGGCGCCAGCUGCAGGGAGAACGGACCCUGGCCAGAGCUCGCAGACGCGAGGCCGACAUCCCGCGAAACCGUGCGACACGCUGAGACGAGAGCUCCUUGGCGGCCGCCGUCCAGCACUGCGGAGGAACAGCGGCCUUGAGCGUGUGAGAUGAGCGGAGACCAUCCUCGCCCAGCUCGGCACGGGCGCCUGCGCGUACUUUGGCUUCGCGCAGCGGCGGGUGACUCGCAGCGGCAGCGUGGCGUGAAGACGGUGUGCUGCCUGUCACUGCGCUCGCGUUGUGGCGUGCCCCUCCCCCGCCCCCGCCUGUGCUUGCUGUGAGGGGGUCCGGCCUGGCGUUGUGCCCGGCAUGCGAGGCGAGGUUGGCGGAUGGGUCGAGGCUGAGAGCGCGCCUCGUCUCACUCGCGGCGCGUGCGCCUGCCCCGCCGAGUGUCCAGCGCUGCCUCCCUGUACGACCCCUCAGGGGAGGGCGUGCCAGGGGCUGUCUCUGCGCAGGCGCCGCCGACCACAGCUUGCAUGGUGCAUCGCAUCGAAGCACGGCAUGCAGAGGGGAGGGGCGCACGCGUGAUAGACGCAAGAGACGCGAGGGGGUGCAUAUGAACCAGCCCCCAAGAGUGCGUGCGUGCGACAUGCGCGGGAAGCCCGACGAGAGCGCCCCGAACUGCACCGUCGGGUCCUGCAGACUCCGACGUGGAGAGUCGCCGCAGGGUACUGUUUGUCUGCCGUGGCUGGAAGCCGCGGAGGGAGAAGCACGGCACACAGGCAGCGUGUGCAGGCCCUCAGAGGGCCGUGGCCUGCAGCUGACGAGCUUCCUUCUCGGGCCCGUCCGGCACGCGGCUAGACCACCGCCUGUUUGGCCACACGAUAUAGACGCCGCUGCUUCCGCCGCGGAGCAGGGGGCUGGACGCGGCUGGCUUGGAUCCAAGGCAUGCGCCCCCCCCCCUGAGGUCCGUGUGGCGCCGACCGCGCGGCAGGUAUGCAAGGAGGGGGCGAGGAGGGACGGGCAGAGUCUGUUAGACGCGUGACCCAGUUCGACGACAGGCCGGCUCGCCCUUGACGACCCGGAUGGGGCCGCGGUGCGACAGAGGUGUGGUGAGCUGUGGUUGUGCGCGCGUACGCUUGCGGACUUGUUGCUGCG